UGCCUUUGUGUGUUGCCCCUUCAUUGUUUCCUCAGUGACUGGGGUGUCAGAUAAGGCGCACAGUGACACUUGUGGCUGUCUGUGAAACGAGCAUCGGGUGACUCCUUUACACAAACAGCUGCAAGGACACAC
Molecule: small nucleolar RNA, 132 nt
Filed under: Monopterus albus (swamp eel)
Lineage: Eukaryota; Metazoa; Chordata; Actinopteri; Synbranchiformes; Synbranchidae
Description: Small nucleolar RNA SNORA13 (ENSMALG00000020800.1)
Rfam family: Small nucleolar RNA SNORA13
About the family: ACA13 is a member of the H/ACA class of snoRNA that guide the sites of modification of uridines to pseudouridines.
Source: RNAcentral